UGGGGAAUAUUGGACAAUGGGGGCAACCCUGAUCCAGCAAUGCCGCGUGUGUGAAGAAGGUCUUCGGAUUGUAAAGCACUUUCGACGGGGACGAUGAUGACGGUACCCGUAGAAGAAGCCCCGGCUAACUUCGUGCCAGCAGCCGCGGUAAUACGAAGGGGGCUAGCGUUGCUCGGAAUGACUGGGCGUAAAGGGCGUGUAGGCGGUUUACACAGUCAGAUGUGAAAUCCCCGGGCUUAACCUGGGAGCUGCAUUUGAUACGUGUAGACUAGAGUGUGAGAGAGGGUUGUGGAAUUCCCAGUGUAGAGGUGAAAUUCGUAGAUAUUGGGAAGAACACCGGUGGCGAAGGCGGCAACCUGGCUCAUGACUGACGCUGAGGCGCGAAAGCGUGGGGAGCAAACAGGAUUAG
RNAcentral lists this ribosomal RNA (409 nucleotides) under uncultured bacterium. RNAcentral's name for it is "partial 16S ribosomal RNA". It matches the Rfam family "Bacterial small subunit ribosomal RNA", at positions 355 to 781 of the family's 1533-position model. The record is from RNAcentral.